RNAcentral lists this microRNA (21 nucleotides) under Homo sapiens (human). Its description in RNAcentral is "hsa-miR-6798-3p". Lineage: Eukaryota; Metazoa; Chordata; Mammalia; Primates; Hominidae. The record is from miRBase by way of RNAcentral.
CUACCCCCCAUCCCCCUGUAG